This is a long non-coding RNA of Monodelphis domestica (gray short-tailed opossum), 2208 nucleotides long. The record is from Ensembl. Lineage: Eukaryota; Metazoa; Chordata; Mammalia; Didelphimorphia; Didelphidae.
UUCUUUCAGGCCUCUCAUUGGUUAAAACCAGGAAGGCAUCCGUCUUUUCAGAUUGUCAAGGCCCGCCGUUGUAAAUGGCUUCUGCGUUUUAUUAUGAAUUCUGCCGCUAUCUGGUUGUAGGCUUGCUUGAUCUCUUAGAGGCAAUACUGGCAUUCCACCUUCAGCCCCAUCUGUAUUUUCUUGCUGAACUACACUGUUAUGUUUAGGUGUGUCUUGUUGUGUGUUCAUAUAUUUGCCACAUUGUUUCUCUUCAGUCAGUUGCUUCAUCAUUUGCUUUAGUUGCGUGAGCUCCUCCCUCAUGGCUAAAAUCAUCGCAGCCAUUUCAUUGUCUUUUGCUUUUUUUCCCAUAAAUUAGAUGCACUCCUUUUUUUUAAGGCAUAGUAUAAUUGGAUUAAGCAGAAUAAUGCUCCAGCAUAUGUGGGAAUGAAUGAAAUCAAGCGAUACAUACUUAUAUUCAGCCACUGCAAACUUUCAUAGAUCCUAAGCAGAAAAUAAAUAUAAUCCGGAAUCGUGACAAAAAAUAAGUUGUAAAGCAUAUACAAGAAAUGUCCAAUCCAGGCUAGAUAACCCAUGGCAAGUAAUAGUUUCUUUGCCGUCUUGAAUCUUGAAAAGCCUUUUGCAACAGAAAAAAUGUGUUCCAGUCUGGCCCUUUAAGAGUCGCCUCCUCCCUUCAGAAGGCGUGGUUUCUUUUGGCUGUGGUGUUGCUAAGCAGAUUAGUUGCACUCAGCACUGCUCUCAAAAUGGCUGCUUUCCACAGUCACACAGGCUUUUGAAAUGUAUGUAGGCCCGAUUUCUCUGAAACUUCUCUGACACCUCCAAAUGCCUUCUUCUUCCCAAAUUCUUGACAAAAUAGGCUGGAAAACCUAGCUGGCUCUGCUAAAAACUGUAAUAUUUAUAGGGAAAAAUGGGGAGGAUAUGAAGAACAGGAGAUAAGGAAGCCCGAAGUAUGAGUGAGGAGGGCAGUCUCUCUAUAUAUGGAGCUAGGGAGUGGUUUUUGCCUGAGGCUAGUUUUCAAGUCUCCACAGCUUCUACUGUGUGCUGCCCUUCUCCACCAUAUCUCAGAGUCUAAGGUCCACUCUUUUUUGUCUCCUGGGAUCCCUCCCAAGUAUAGCUGCUCUCAGGGGCUGAAUCAUGUUGCUGUAGCAGAACUGAAGAGUGGCAAUAAAGAGAAUAGACAUUUAAUAUGCUGGGAGCUCUAUUUAUUAUAGAGAAAAUAUGAAGGAAAGCAUUAAUCCAUUGGGGAAAAGAUUCAGCAUAAUCUAAGAAGUUUGGAGCCACUAGUUAGCUGUUAAGAAUAGCUGCCAAGAAGGAUGCCAAUCGAGAGAUUCACCAAUUUGUAGAUCUGUAGAUCCAUCACGCAAACAGAUUGAGUCAGUUGUGCAGCUGAAAUGAAAAGGAAAGAGAAAAUACCUCCUGAAUUCAGUUUUACUAGAAGUGACCUCCAAGUGUUCCAGAAAUGGAUCCUCAUUUAAUGACUAUGUGGAAUUAGAUUAUGUUUGAUACAGUCACAUCUAUUUUAGCUGAUCCCCAAACCAAGCCCUUCUUGACUCAGAAUUUAGGGCAGAAUAAGGUAUUAGAAUAGUCCAUAGAAUUAUAGCUGAGAAGAUAUUAUGGAUCUGCCAAGGAAUCUGAAAGGUUCCAGGAAAUGGAAAAAGGUAUUAGAGGAAAAACUCCUAUGUGCUGGGUAGGUUCUCUGGGCAGGAGAGCAGUCACAGAUUGCACAGCAUAAACUAGAGGGAUGGGAUUCAGUCUGCUCAUUUGAGGGGAUAUUCACAUCGGCGGGGCCAUGGAAGCAUACGGAUAUUAGAGGAAGCCUGUCGAGAGGCAGAAAAUCAUGUCUUGCUGUGCCAGGACAACUAGCAUCUCUCUGUGGCUUUCUUGUGCUCAUCUGAAGAUGAGUCUGGCUCUCUCUGGAGUGAGUCUGAUGAGGCACUUGAAAAAUGCAGCUGGGCCCCAGUGGGGGUCCCCUGGCAUUCUCUUGGAUAGGAGGUGACUGGUUUCUGUCCCUAGGCUAGUGAAAAGACCCUUGGUGGAGGAAAUGGGGAAACGGACCCAUGUUCUGCCCUCUCGGGAGCUGAGCUGGUGCUAGCAUCCAGAUCAUAGGACUUCCUCCCGGGGCUCUCUUAAGUAACACAGGCUCUGAGGCAAAGAUAAAACAACAGUCUUUACAAAAUUUCAGAUUAGAAUAUGCUGCACAAUAUACCCUGC